AAAGCACUAGUUCUUAGGCUAAGGCAUCAUGCAUUCACGUUCAUAGUAUUUUUCACAUCCACUUAAAAUGAGUUAGGGAUAGUCCAGAGGAAUAAUGUUAAUACCAUCAAAAUGAACAUCCAAGAGGUCAGAAAACACUUAGAGGAAGUGGUGAGAUAUUUAUUGAAAUUGCACACAAAACUUAUUAUUUCUCUCUGUAUAGCCGAGACGAAAGAAGAAACGCAAUAGGUUACUCUACAGAGGUCUCUUGAUGUUGCCCAAAGACAUUUUUCACUGCCCAGUUACUCACCUUUUUAUUUUUUCUAUAUCUGUAUAUAUUAGACCUUCACCUAGAGAUUCAGUCUUGCUGGCCCUCACCUCAGUUCUAAUCCUGUAUGUGCUCAAGGGCCCCAAGUAGGUCAAGUAACGAGUUAACACUGAUGCCUGUUUUGCUUUGACUUUUUCCUGUCAGAUUUGUUAACCAAGUUUUAUUUUGAGCCUGUGGAGAAAUCAUACUCUUCAUCUAUUAGAACUGGAUUUGUCUUGUUCUUUCUGUCUGAGCACCUUCCUGGAUAUCUUGAUUCUCAUUGCUGUUACCCUGAGACUGGGAUCCUGUCAAGGACUAGAGGCCCAGUGGUCUCACCCCAGCAUAUUUCCCCCAUGGCAAUGAUAGAGGGAAAGGCAAGUGGAAACAUAGAAGGACUCUAGGAACUGGCCCAUCACCACUUCCAUAUUAUUCUUUUGCUAAAGCAAGUCAUAUUGCUGAAGGAUAAAGAAAUAUACUUGGAACCCUUAGGAAGAGAAACAUGGAAGAGAAUGUGGAAGCAGGAAGGACUGUUGAAAGAGGCUGCACUUCCUAAUCCUAAGAACAAAAGAAGGUGAAUUUCUCUUGGAACUCUUUUUGUCCAUGCCUGGUACACUAUUCUCGGAUCUGUGCUGACUCAAAGCCAAGGAGAUAUAUUGAGAGAAGAUUUACUUGAUGGACCAGAGCAAUGCUGGCUGUGGAGCUGGAGUUUAUCUGGAGACUUUUCAACCAAGCUGCUAAGGAGAGUGAAGCACACAUGCAAGCCUGCUGCCAAGGUAAGAAUUUCAGUGUGAUUUGGGGAAAAUAUUUGACUGCACAAGCCAGGAAGGACUGAGGUGGGAAAAAGGAAACCCGCGUCCUAACAUGAUCACUGCUGUAUCCGAAACUAAGUACGUGAUCUUCACCAAGCUCUUCCCUUUUCCUGGCCAAGCUCCUUAUCUCUGACAGGUUGAAUGGAAUUAGAACUCUGGUAGCCCAUAGACGUGGUUUAUUUGAUUCACAUAGCCCUCACCCUCCUUUUUUGCUUCUUUUCUUUUCCCCUUCCUUCCUUUUCUCCCUCCUUCCAUCUCCUUCCCUCCUUCCCUCCCUCCCUCCCUUCCUUCCUUCCUUGUCUUAAUUAAAUUAAGCCAGAGGUUUAAGCAAUAUAAACAUUUUUGGUCUUUUAGCCAAAGAGUCUUGAACAUUUAAAAACUCCUUAUAACAACAGAUACCACUACACACCUAUUAGAAUGGCCAAAAUCUGGAAUACUGACAACACCAAAUGCCAGCGAGGAGGUAGAACAAUAGGGACCCUCACCCAUUGCUGGUGGGAAUGCAAAAUGGUACAGCCACUUUGGAACACAGCUUGGUGGUUUCUUACAAAACUAAACACACUCUUCGCAGGUGAUCCAGCAAUUGUGUUCUUUGGUAUUUAACCAAAUGAGUUGAAGACGUAUAUCCACAUA
Kogia breviceps (pygmy sperm whale) is the source of this 1728-nucleotide non-coding RNA. The record is from RefSeq and is a predicted model, not a curated record. Lineage: Eukaryota; Metazoa; Chordata; Mammalia; Artiodactyla; Physeteridae.